RNAcentral lists this ribosomal RNA (516 nucleotides) under uncultured Coxiellaceae bacterium. RNAcentral describes it as "bacterial SSU rRNA". It matches the Rfam family "Bacterial small subunit ribosomal RNA", at positions 528 to 1050 of the family's 1533-position model. The record is from RNAcentral. Lineage: Bacteria; Pseudomonadati; Pseudomonadota; Gammaproteobacteria; Legionellales; Coxiellaceae.
GAGGGUGCGAGCGUUAAUCGGAAUUACUGGGCGUAAAGGGCGCGUAGGUUGGUAUUUAAGUCAGAUGUGAAAUCCUCGAGCUUAACUUGAGAACUGCAUUUGAUACUGGAUACCUAGAGUUUGGUAGAGGGAAGUGGAAUUUCCGAUGUAGCGGUGAUAUGCAUAGAUAUCGGAAGGAACACCAGUGGCGAAGGCGGCUUCCUGGACCAAUACUGACACUGAGGCGCGAAAGCGUGGGUAGCAAACAGGAUUAGAUACCCUGGUAGUCCACGCCGUAAACGAUGAGAACUAGGCGUUGGGGGUUUCCUCAGUGCCGUAGCUAACGCAUUAAGUUCUCCGCCUGGGGAGUACGGCCGCAAGGUUGAAACUUAAAGGAAUUGACGGGGGCCCGCACAAGCGGUGGAGCAUGUGGUUUAAUUCGAAGCAACGCGCAGAACCUUACCAACCCUUGACAUCCUAGGACAACUCCAGAGAUGGAGCCUUCCUUCGGGACCUAGUGACAGGUGCUGCAUGGCU